Molecule: ribosomal RNA, 241 nt
Filed under: Clostridioides difficile
Lineage: Bacteria; Bacillati; Bacillota; Clostridia; Peptostreptococcales; Peptostreptococcaceae
Description: partial 23S ribosomal RNA
Rfam family: Bacterial large subunit ribosomal RNA
Source: RNAcentral
AGGUGGCCGCAGAGAAUAGGCCCAAGCGACUGUUUACCAAAAACAUAGGUUUCUGCUAAGUCGCAAGACGAUGUAUAGGAGCUGACGCCUGCCCGGUGCUGGAAGGUUAAGGGAAUCUGUUAGAGCAAUCGAAGCAGUGAACUUAAGCCCCAGUAAACGGCGGCCGUAACUAUAACGGUCCUAAGGUAGCGAAAUUCCUUGUCGGGUAAGUUCCGACCCGCACGAAAGGCGUAACGAUUUG